AUCUCUAAAAUUAAUAUAUUUUUGUAAAAUUCAUUGCCUCAAUGCCCUUAGCCUGUCUAUCAAAGUUAACAAUAUUUCAAUCCAUCCCAUGUUGUACUUUUUUCUCUUUGCUUCUUGUGGUAUUAUUUACUGCACUCUCUUUCCCUCAUAUUUCUUGUUAAUGGAAGUUAGCUCUAGAAACUUGGUUGGGUUCAGGGUUUAGUAAAAAUACUUCAAGGAGAUGCUGAGCAUAGUUUAGCUUCUGAAAGCAAUUUUAUUCUCAUCUCUGUGGCAUAGCAGUUCAGGAUACCCCCACAAUUACUAACAGCCAUUUUCGUUUCUUACAACUCUGAGAGUGUCUUCUAAGAAAUUACAAAGAAACAAAAGCAAAUUCACAGUGGGUAGUUUGCCUUUGAUCUUUCCUUCCUUCUUCACUGUGACCAUCAGUCAUCCAAUAUUUUUUUCAGAGUUUUCGUCUAGGACUUACUCUCAUCCUCCCUUCUGAAAGUUUUUUGAAAAUUAUCUUUCUCCAUUCUCAAAAAAGCAGGUGGCUUAGGAGGAGUUGUAACACAGAAAUGUAUCUAGAAAGAAUACAAUUCUAAAAGACUACAUAAAGACUAUACUCAUCACAAGAAAUCUGUACCUAUCCAUCUGCUUUAUCUAGAGUCACUUCUUUUAAAUUUUACUUCUUUUAAAUUUGUUUGUAUUCAGGAAACCAGUACAGUAGACUCCUUCCUUUUACUUUCCUCUAAGAGUUCGCCGCUGGAGAGAAAAUUAUGGGAGAAUGUUCUGCAUGUUUUAACAGCUGGGUUGAUAAUAGUGUGUAGAUACUGAUUCUCAAUAGUUUUCAGUGAGAUUGAUGACUGGAACCCAUCAGGUGCCAUGGAGGAGGGUUAGCCCAGCUAUCCCUUCUGGAGACCAUCUUAUUUUUCUGACAUUAGGUUAAGAGAACAUUACUCUUACCUUUGCUGUAAGUUACAUUGCAAUCAUAUUUUCUCAUUGACUAACAAAGAAUGGCAUUCUGCAUGUACUUUUAUCCCUUAUUCUUAGCCUUCUCCCUAGGUGGGGUUAGUCUUAGAAUACAUCAUAUAGAUUGUCAGAGGAAACUAAGAAACAUCCAAAAUAUUGGUUUGAAGCUAAGAAUUAUAAUUCAGCAGCUUUGGGAAAUUAUUUUAGACCAUUAUCUCAAAUAAAUAUUAUCAUUUUUUCCUGAUUAUCCUCCAUCUUUUGAUUCCUAAAGUACUAAUUUGAACAGUAUUCUAAACCCUAUAUUUACUGAAAAGCUUCAUUGUUUCUCAUGCCCCUGGGGAAAUCUAUUUUUUGUUUGUUUUGUUUUGUUUUCUGCUCCUCUGUGUAUAGUUUGAGAAAGGUUCAGAAGGUAUCCAGGGAAAACUGAGAAAAGAGAAGACACCCUCUGUUAGUUUACUAGGGUUGCCAUGAACAAAAUAUGCUAUAGACUAGGUGGCUUAAACAACAGAAAAUUAUAUUCUCAUUGUUCUGGAUGCUAGAAGUCCAAAAUCAAGGUGUAUCGGGUUGGGUUUUCCAUGAGGCCUCUCUCUUUGGCUUGCAGAUGGCCAUCUUUCUCACUGUGCACCCAUGUGGCCGUUUCAUUGAUGUCUCUUCCUCUUUAAGGACAUCAGUCAUGUUGGAUUAGGGCCCUUCCCUUAUGACUUUAUUUCAUAAGUACCUUUUUUAGAGGUCCUGUCUCCAAAAUACAGUCACAUAGGGGGUUAAGUCUUCAACAUAUGAAUAUGGAAGAAUACAAUUCAGCCCAUAGCAUGCCCUUGAGAGUACUUUUUCUGAUCUGUAACUGCAUGUAUAAAAAUAGGCCAUCUCAAUUAUAUGGGCUCUACAUUUCAAGUAUGCAUGCCAAAGUCUGAAUGUAUAUUUAUUAGCAGACUUGACUCACAGCCUAAUGGCAUGCUACUGAAUCAUAUUUACAUGUGAUCAUAGUUGACUGGGGAAAUAAUUCAGGUGUUUAUCCUGUUUUGUAUGUGUGUAUGUGUGUGUGUAGUCAUCUAGUUAUUUACGGUUUUGAUAAUUUAUUAAAAUGACCCCCUCCAAGCUUUUACUGUCAUCCCUCACAAAGAAUGAACACAGCAGAUAUUUAGGUCUGCCUUUAUGUCUGAAAAUCAUGCUUUUUUUUUUUUUAAAUGACACUACCCUUGUAAAGGAUAGCACUUUUUUAGCUACUUGUCUCCAUGUAUAAAUUUUAAAUCCUUUCCUUAAUGCAUGUAUGAUGAGUUAGAAAAAGUGAUUAGUAGUUUUAGUAGUUCCUUGAGAUUCAAUAAAAGGGGAGUCUCAGACGUAAGCAAGUUAUUAAAUUGGAGAAAGGCAUAUUGGCAAUGACAAUUAAAUAGGGCUGUGACUUGCAUAUAAAAGUGUGGGAAUGAAAAAAUUAGUGAAUUUAUGAUUGAAUUUUAUGCAUUCAACAUGGAAAUAAUAUUGUAAAUUGAAAAAAUGGGCUAGAAGACCUUUUUAAAAUAAUAGUUUUGGAGAAUGAUUUUUACGUCAUAAUGCAGGGUAUGCAUAACAUAAAUUCUAGUACUAAAUCACUAUGUUGUUUAGGGUCAAAAUUGUAUUUUUGAAAAAGUUUUUAUUCUUAAAAAAUACUCUUGCUAAAGAAAGUUCACAUUCAUAAGUAUGGAUAAUUUCUUCCAAGUUUUGUAACUUAAGACAAACUAAGUCUAAACUCUCUCCUGUCUACCAGGGGUUAAGAUAAUUAGCAACAAGUUAGAGUAAUGAAAUUAAAUCACUACUCAGGAUAAAUGGUUGCCUUUGGUCUGCAUGAUAAGCUGUGACUCUGUGAUGGGUAUGAAAGUUUAUGUGCCAGACAGAAGGGAUUGUCACCUUGAUUUUUUUUCUUUUUUGAAGUCUGUCCCAGACCAGUUCAGCUGUUAAAUUUCAAUUAAACUAAAUGCAGUCAGAAAAACAACAUUAAAAGAAGGGUUGGAAAUGUAAGUAUAUUUCUUUUAUCUAGUCCGAGCUGUUGGCAAAGUAAGCUGGCUUUUCCAUACUUGGCAUUUAUUAAUAAUAUUUUGAAUACCAUUGCGCUUUUUAAGCUGAGUGUGGUGGAAUUCUCUUGUGGGAUUAUUAAAUGAGUCGAUUUGCAUUCUAAUGAGAACAAAUGUUUGGGAUUGCAUUGUUAAAAUGCUAAAACGGUGUGUGUAUAAUUAUUUUGCAGCUUAGAUUCGCAGAACUCAUUUCCCCAAACUCCUUUUUUUAAAUAACUAAAGAGUCAGAGCCUACUGACGGCUGGAGGGGAGGUGAUUAGGGUAAUUUAAACUGUUCACAAAUGACUUUGCCACAGAAUGAAAGCAUUUCUUUGGCUUUGCCCAGCUCCUUUCAUUAUCUUUAAGCGGCCGCAGUGUUGAGUCCCAUAAGAAGUCUCACCAAGCUCUCUUUCCUUGUACAGUUUCUCAUUUGUACUGAUUAAUCAUUUUGUAAUUCCAUUCUGGGUUGACUUGCUCAUCUUUAAGGCAUUUGCUGCUUUUUCUUUGCUUGUCUAUCCUGUAACGGUUAUGUUGUCUGUUCUAAUACCUUAGCUUUAUCACUGCAAGUCAAGCUUUAAAACAUUAAUCCCUUCAUGCUUUAAUUUCAUAUUCUAUUACCAGAAUGAAUGCAAAUACUGUUUCCUUUUUCUCCCUUUUAAUCAUCUUUACUACAGCUUUUGCAUAUGGGCCAAAAGUAAAGUAAGCUUUUUAUUAUUUAGAGUGUAACUCUUUAUUUAAAAAUAGUUUUUCAACUUCCUAUCUUUCAUUAGUUUUAAAUUCUGUUGACAAAAUAGAAAUGUUUACUGCAGAUAUCUGUAGCCUUAAAACUUAAUUUGUAGCCAGUUUUUAAUAAAAUAUGCGUAUUGUAAAUCAACAGUCUUAAGUUACUAAAGGUGGACAUGUUUUAUUAUUAUGUUUUUAAGUAUUUUGAUUGUUAACCUUGACCAGAGUUGUUCAUUUCGUUGACAACAUUUUGGAACAACAGUGGUUUUAGAUUCUUUUCAUCAGGCAGUUUGAUGCUGGGCAAGAAAGUAAAAAGGAUAUAGUCAACCCUACUCUUUUCGUAGGUAAUAAUUGAGAAUCCAGAAAAUUUAAGUGAUUGACUUACAAACAAUAAAUAAUUAUUUUGUGAAUAUUUAUUUUUUAGAAAAUUAAUAGAAUUUGAGGCUUGUUUGUAAGUUUAUCUUGUGUGGGCAAUGCUUUAUUAGGCUAAAUGAUGCUUUGUAUCUAUUGCAUAAAGUAUGUAUUUACAUAUAUAUCUAUAUAUAUGCAUGUGUACAUAUAUGUAUAUAUAUACACAUAUAACACAAAUAUAGCUGUGUUGAAAAUAUUGACAGAUGCAAUACUUUGAAAAAUGCAAAAGUGUGAAGAUCAGUAAAACAUUAUUUUAUGACAUGUUAAUACAAUAGAAGUAAGUGGCUUCGAUUAAAACAAAUGUUAAAAGUUGAUAAUUUUCUAAUAUUUUUAAAAGUCAGUUAAUAGGCUGCUGGUUAUUCUUUGCUUGAGAUGAAUUAAAACCUUGUGAUAAAUGAUAUCAAGAUUUUUUAUAAUCUAAAAAUUGGUAUUUUUGUUCAAAGUCAGUCUUUGAUGACGUCAAGAACUUCAAAUUCAGAAUAUGGUAUGUUUUAACAUAGUACAGUUACAAAAAUGGGGACGUUUACAUUAACCCCCUAACUCAAAUUUAGCUAUUGUUAGAGGUUUACAUUGAGAGAUCUGAGGAUUCAUUUGUUUAUAGCUGGUAACCAGAAACAUGACACAGACAAAUUUAUACAGAACAGUAGGAUUUUUUUUUUUUUGGUACAAAUAGAUAAAAAGAAUAAACAUGAAACUGGCUUCAGCUGUGCAUAUUAGUUUAGUGUAUGUUAGCAAUCCCAUCCCAAGACAAAAUCCUUGGUUCACACGGUUUUGUAAAUAUAAUCAGUAGUUUCUGGGAAGGACAGACAGGAGAUGAAUGCUGGCAAGAAAGCCCCAAAAUAUCCACUAGAUGGGAUUAUCAGUAAAAGUUUCCAGAUUAUAAUAUACUACACAAAUUAUUCAGACUGUGCAGGCUCCACUUUAUCAAUUUUUCUGUCUUUGUCUCACUACUUUUUCCACCUGUGCUUUCAUCAUGUGAUUCGUUGAAUGUGUGAAGGAAAGGAAGGGCACCUGAUAGAAUGCAUUCAGAGUGAAUGCAAUUAUUCCGUAUUCAUUUUGUUUUAUUUUAAGACUUAAGGUACAUGGCAGAUAUGUGUAUUGCAAACAACACCUUCUCUUGUAUACAGAAAAAUUACAAACUUUGUUCUCUAAAACUUUCAAUCCUUUAAUCUUCCUGUGGAUGAAUAGCUCCCUCCUUCUGCCCCCCAAAGCCUUAGUCUGUCAUGACCUUUCAUACCUGUUUUGUCUUUAGAAACAGCUUUGUAAAUGUCACAAGCUUAGGAUUCUUUUUAGAGGCUUUGGGUUUCAGCUCUCUAACCACUGAGUAAUCAAAUUCAGGUUGGUUGUGGUUCAUGAUAUUUAUUGACUGCUAGUUUGGCUUUAGGACCCUAAUGCCAUAGGUUGAAGUGCCGUAUUGUCCUAUUAUCAAAGAAAAGUCAAAGACUAAGAGUCUUGUUAGUUUCCCUUUUUAUCUAUUUAUUUUAAAAAAAUAUUUCUACAACUUUAAUAGUUUUAAGUUCAUGAUUUUUCUUCUGUUGAUAUGCACGAAAAACAAAAAAACCUCAACCUAUGACCAAUUUGCAUCUAGAUAAUAUCAUCCAAAGACUGAACUAAAGAAUGCUGACCAAAACUAGGUCUUCAAAUGAAAUUGGCAGGAGGAAAAUACAACUAGGCAUUUAUGCAGGCAUAAGAAAAGCUCUUCAAUCACAGAGAGCAAAGAUAAAACUGAAAAUUGAAGGACCAUUGAUUGCAAAAAUGCAGUAUUAUGGAUGAUGUUGAUAUUUCAAAUGGCUUAGAAAAAUUAUCCUUUUCAAGUGCAUUAACCUAAUUUUUGAAAUAAAAUAAAGAUCAAAUCUUUAAUAGUACUGAUAAUCUAUGUAAUUUCAUGAAAUAUACAAAAAACCUCAUGGUGAGAACUCUUACUCAAGAGCCAGAGCCUUUUCAUACCUGGCAAAAAUCACGGUUAGACUGGGACAAACACUGUUGGAGUUGAUUAAGCAAUGUGCCCAUUGUAUGAAUGCAAUGAAAUGUGUUUCCUGACCUUUUAUGCUGCUACUUUCUAAUUGAGCAGGUGUGCUGUUCAAAGGGAGUUCAUUAAGUGGAUUUUAGUGUGUGUGUGUGUGUGUGUGUGUGUGUGUGUGUGUGUGUGUGUGUGAAUCCGUAUAUCAGAUUUGCCAAAUGGCUCUUGAUAUUUUUGUGUUUAAAAAUAAACAUAAAACAUGUAAAUCCUGUAGUAUUUAGAUGAAAAUCUGUUCCUUUUACUUUUUC
RNAcentral lists this long non-coding RNA (6374 nucleotides) under Sus scrofa (pig). Its description in RNAcentral is "lncRNA (ENSSSCG00000058807.1)". The record is from RNAcentral. Lineage: Eukaryota; Metazoa; Chordata; Mammalia; Artiodactyla; Suidae.